RNAcentral lists this transfer RNA (68 nucleotides) under Marmota monax (woodchuck). Its description in RNAcentral is "tRNA.Ala". Lineage: Eukaryota; Metazoa; Chordata; Mammalia; Rodentia; Sciuridae. The record is from RNAcentral.
GGAUUGUGGCUCAGUGAUAGAGCACUCGCCUAGCAUGCACAAGGCCCUGGGUUCGAUCCUCAGCACCA